Molecule: ribosomal RNA, 1346 nt
Filed under: uncultured bacterium
Lineage: Bacteria
Description: partial 16S ribosomal RNA
Rfam family: Bacterial small subunit ribosomal RNA
Source: RNAcentral
GGCGAACGCUGGCGGCGUGCUUAACACAUGCAAGUCGAACGGAAAGGCCCUGCUUUUGUGGGGUGCUCGAGUGGCGAACGGGUGAGUAACACGUGAGUAACCUGCCCUUGACUUUGGGAUAACUUCAGGAAACUGGGGCUAAUACCGGAUAGGAGCUCCUGCUGCAUGGUGGGGGUUGGAAAGUUUCGGCGGUUGGGGAUGGACUCGCGGCUUAUCAGCUUGUUGGUGGGGUAGUGGCUUACCAAGGCUUUGACGGGUAGCCGGCCUGAGAGGGUGACCGGCCACAUUGGGACUGAGAUACGGCCCAGACUCCUACGGGAGGCAGCAGUGGGGAAUAUUGCACAAUGGGCGGAGGCCUGAUGCAGCAACGCCGCGUGCGGGAUGACGGCCUUCGGGUUGUAAACCGCUUUCGCCUGUGACGAAGCGUGAGUGACGGUAAUGGGUAAAGAAGCACCGGCUAACUACGUGCCAGCAGCCGCGGUGAUACGUAGGGUGCGAGCGUUGUCCGGAUUUAUUGGGCGUAAAGGGCUCGUAGGUGGUUGAUCGCGUCGGAAGUGUAAUCUUGGGGCUUAACCCUGAGCGUGCUUUCGAUACGGGUUGACUUGAGGAAGGUAGGGGAGAAUGGAAUUCCUGGUGGAGCGGUGGAAUGCGCAGAUAUCAGGAGGAACACCAGUGGCGAAGGCGGUUCUCUGGGCCUUUCCUGACGCUGAGGAGCGAAAGCGUGGGGAGCGAACAGGCUUAGAUACCCUGGUAGUCCACGCUGUAAACGGUGGGUACUAGGUGUGGGGUCCAUUCCACGGGUUCCGUGCCGUAGCUAACGCUUUAAGUACCCCGCCUGGGGAGUACGGCCGCAAGGCUAAAACUCAAAGGAAUUGACGGGGCCCCGCACAAGCGGCGGAGCAUGCGGAUUAAUUCGAUGCAACGCGUAGAACCUUACCUGGGUUUGACAUGGAUCGGGAGUGCUCAGAGAUGGGUGUGCCUCUUUUGGGGUCGGUUCACAGGUGGUGCAUGGCUGUCGUCAGCUCGUGUCGUGAGAUGUUGGGUUAAGUCCCGCAACGAGCGCAACCCUUGUUCACUGUUGCCAGCACGUUAUGGUGGGGACUCAGUGGAGACCGCCGGGGUCAACUCGGAGGAAGGUGGGGAUGACGUCAAGUCAUCAUGCCCCUUAUGUCCAGGGCUUCACGCAUGCUACAAUGGCUGGUACAGAGAGUGGCGAGCCUGUGAGGGUGAGCGAAUCUCGGAAAGCCGGUCUCAGUUCGGAUUGGGGUCUGCAACUCGACCUCAUGAAGUCGGAGUCGCUAGUAAUCGCAGAUCAGCAACGCUGCGGUGAAUACGUUCCCGGGGCU